UGAAUACGAGAUGCUACGGCAUCGAAGCAGUCUAUGUCAUACUUCCAAGAAAAGCUUGCACUGUCAUAAACAAAUAAUGCCUGUACCAUAACCGACACAGGUGGGUAGGUAGAGUAUACUAAGGGGCGCGAGAUAACUCUCUCUAAGGAACUCGGCAAAAUGACUCCGUAACUUCGGGAGAAGGAGUGCCUUAUUUUAUAAGGUUGCAAUAACAAGAUCCAAGCAACUGUUUACCAAAAACACAGGUCUCCGCUAAGUCGCAAGACGAUGUAUGGGGGCUGACGCCUGCCCAGUGCCAGAAGGUUAAAGAAGUUGGUUAGCAUUAGCGAAGCUGAUAACUGAAGCCCUGGUGAACGGCGGCCGUAACAAUAACGGUCCUAAGGUAGCGAAAUUCCUUGUCGGGUAAGUUCCGACCCGCACGAAAGGCGUAAUGAUUUGGAUACUGUCUCGGAGAGGGGCUCGGUGAAAUAGACUUGUCUGUGAAGAUGCGGACUACCUGCACCAGGACAGAAAGACCCUAUGAAGCUUUACUGUAACUUGAGAUUGAAAUUGGACUUUAUUUGCGCAGUAUAGGUGGGAGACGUUGAAAAUAUUCUUGCGGGAAUAUUGGAGUCAUCAGUGAGAUACCACUCUUAUAAUGUUAGAUUUCUAACUUUGUAUCAUUAUCUGGUCAAAGAACAGUCUCAGGCGGGCAGUUUGACUGGGGCGGUCGCCUCCCAAACGGUAACGGAGGCGCACAAAGGUUUCCUCUGAACGUGUAGAAAUCGUAUCUAGAGUGUAAAGGCAUAAGGAAGCUUGACUGUGAGACCUACAAGUCGAGCAGGGACGAAAGUCGGUCUUAGUGAUCUGACGGUGCUGAGUGGAAAGGCCGUCACUCAACGGAUAAAAGUUACUCUAGGAUAACAGGCUGAUCUCUCCCAAGAGUUCACAUCGACGGGGAGGUUUGGCACCUCGAUGUCGGCUCAUCGCAUCCUGGGGCGGUAGUACGUCCCAAGGGUUGGGCUGUUCGCCCAUGAAAGCGGUACGCGAGCUGGGUUCAGAACGUCGUGAGACAGUUCGGUCCAUAUCCGGUGUAGGCGUUAGAAUAUUGAGAGGAGCCUUCUUUAGUACGAGAGGACCGAGAAGGACAUACCUCUGGUGUACCAGUUAUCGUCCAACGGUAAACGCUGGGUAGCUAUGUAUGGAGAGGAUAACCGCUGAAAGCAUCUAAGUGGGAAGCCCACCUCAAAAUAAG
This 1234-nucleotide ribosomal RNA is filed under the name metagenome. RNAcentral's name for it is "bacterial LSU rRNA". It matches the Rfam family "Bacterial large subunit ribosomal RNA", at positions 1564 to 2808 of the family's 2925-position model. The record is from RNAcentral.